This 21-nucleotide non-coding RNA is filed under the name Caenorhabditis elegans. The record is from RNAcentral. Lineage: Eukaryota; Metazoa; Nematoda; Chromadorea; Rhabditida; Rhabditidae.
UUUGAAUAGAAAAUAAACAUG